GCCACUACCCGCGUGCCCUCCCCGCUCCCGUCUCGCCCUCCCCUCCCUCUCCCUCUCCCGCCGAAGCCGCCGAGCGCCACCUCCGCCUCCCCCUCGCGCCGCCGCCUCCACCUCCGUUGCCGUCGCGUCGCCGCCGCCUCCGCCUCUACCUCCCCCUCGCGCCGCCAGCUCCGCCUCUGCCUCCUCUUCCUUCCCCUCUGCCUCGCGUGGCCGUCGCCGAGUGCGCCACCUCUGGCUCACGCCGCCGCUGCCGUCGUCGCUGUAGAGGAGGCGGAUCCGACCUCCAUGUGUUUGGGGGACGCGGAUCUGACUGACGCAACGUCGUCAUCCGCUGUCGUCGCCAUCGCCGAGCGUCACCGCUGCAUCCUCCGCCACACCUCCGUCCUUCACCGCCAAAGACCGCUAUGAGCGGUCGACCUGGGGUGGAGGCGUGGAGCCGGCCGCCAUCGCCGCAACUUCAUGGCAUAGGGGACGGUUGUCCGUCGAUUUGAGGAGUGAGAGGCGGCAACAGCAAUAAAGAGGGGAGAGGCCUGCCGGCGGCUGUAUGGUGGAGAAGCGCCGCCGCAGCCCGCAUCCCCUCCUCUCGCCCCUCCCUCUCCCACCCGGGCGAUUCGCAAGCCGCCGCUGCCACCGCUCUCGACCGCCAUCGCUGCCGUCUCAUGGGCUCCAGGAACCGCCGGCGGGGGUGAUCUUGACCUCGACCUCAGCCUUGGCUGCUUCAAUGGUUGCAUGGGGAUAAGUGGAGCUCCGUCCUGGAAGGGUGGAGGCGGGAGAUGCUCUGACCAUCGGCGGCUGGCAUCAGCAUCAGAUCCAGGCUGCGGUGGCGCGGAUCGAACGUAGAGGCGUGAUCUGAUGACGGUGGUGGAGUUGCAACCAAGGUCGAUGGGGAUGUCGAGGGCGUUGCUGAUGAAGAAGCACCCCAGUUAAUGAUAUGGCUCGCUUCUCUGGCUCGAGGGCGUUGCGGAUGAAGAAGCCCCAUGCUCUGGCUCAGGCUCCGCUACGGGGUUACCAUACCGUAGAUUAUAUUGUCAAGAUGCACAGGACAUAAUGAAUAAGUUCAGCACGCCGCAGACACGUCGUGGUCAAUUCCUCAUCGGAAGUAUUGCUUGGUGCUUGUGUAUUUUUUCCGCAUAGAAAUAAGAUGGGAUGGAUUUUUUUUCUCCACAGAUUAUUUUAUAUGUUUCUAAGAAUAGGAAUAUGAAGUGGAAAAUAUGGCAUGUGUUCUGUAUGCUAAUAAUCUAAUAGAGUGGAUCAGGUUGGUUCGAGUUUGUUUGCAAGGCAAACCAACAUUACCUACAUAGAUGGCACCGUGAUAAUCAUGGAAUUGUUUCUUCUCCUUUUUACAUGAUCCUGUAAAUGAAAGGAAGGUACUACUGAUUUAUUGGAUGAUCUUUCGUGACUUGCGGCUAAAAUGAUGGUGUAGUUUUAAUCUCUGUAUUCCCGUUUCAUAUCAUAGAAAAAAAGAACUAAUGUGGUUAAAAGGUGAGAUAUUGUAUUUUUGUUGAAUGUUUAUAAUCUCUAAUAGGUUUAUUUUUCUGGUUUUGAGGCUUGUGGGCCUAAUAUACCUUGAGACAGUGGCCCAUGGCUGAUAACCGGAAAUGAGUCAUGACUUACUGCUGGGACUUAUCGAAGAUCCUGUUUUGAGAUAAAUAUGAUUUCAUUUCAGGUGGAAGUUCUGUUAUUCUAAAGGAAUCAGCAUCUGCCUUCUAGAGGUGAAAAAUGUAUAGUCCUAAUUACUAAGGCAUUGUUUGAUGUCUGCCCUUCUAGAGGUGGAAUGUACAAUCCUGGUUGCUAGGGCAUAGGAUGAUGUUUCUUUUAUUUGGCUUGUCCUGUGUUUAUCUGGUUAAAUGUCAAGAAAUGUGCCAUGUGCUAUUGUCUCCCAUGAAACAUUGAAAGAAGAAGGGUUUAUAAGGCGGCCCUAUACAUUAGGUCUUUAGAUGUAGUAUCCUUUCUUUGACAAGCUCUGAUGGCCUACAAAAACCGGCUCUCACACCAUUAGGUAAUGUUAUGUUUCCAUUAAUUUUACUGGGAUAUUGCAUUACUUGGGAUAAUCACAUGCAUUUCCAUGGCAAUUUAAGGUCUAGCAAGAAAAUAGUUUACUAAACGGACCAAGAUAGAAUUUCAAGUCUUACGAGUAAAAGUUGGGAUGAUCUGGUUUAAUGCUAUAAUUUGUAUGUACCAAAUAAUUCCGUAGACAUCCUGAAUACCUAAGUACUUUAAACAUUUUCGUAUGAAGAGUUGUUAGGUCUGCUAGCAGCAGUACGCUAUUACUUCAAGUUAAUCACUGCAUGAAUUUCUGUUUAUGGGAAUCUUGAGAUUUACAAUACAUUUGAAUGCUUACAUUAUAUGUAGCUAAAUAAACCCAACUAAUGGAGGGUCAGUUCAUUUAUUUAUCAUGCAAGAUUGUUAGUUUAACUAUGUCAGAUUUGCAUAGGGUUCAGGGUUUAGGGACCUCAUUAAUAACCUCUACCACCAUCUGAACCUAAAGAUUUUGCAUGCUCUGGUUGCAGCUUCAACCAUUCCUUGGGUUUGCUUCUUAUAAUUGAUGUAUAAUUUAUUUUUGAUUUGGUAUUAUUUUCUAUAGUGACAACCUGUACUAAUUACAGAUCUAAUAUUGUGCCUCAACCUCACAUGUUGAAUAUGUUGGCUUACGUCAGUUAGACCUCUACGUAGAAAGCAUCAAUGGUUGUGAGGCCUACUGAUUUCUCUCUCACUCUAAGUCCGAGAAAAAUAUUGUCGUGUUGAUGCUACUUCCAAAUUUGAGCAUACUAAGAUGCACUGAUGAACAUGGUACUGUUACAUUACUCUAAGAUGUGAUUUCAGGCUCAUGGUUCUUCGUAUGGUAUAAGUUGCAGGUAUUGAAGUGCUGGGCUGGAAAUUCUCACAAAUGCUAGGUAUGUGGGCACUCCAGAACAUGGGUUUUAGCAUAGCGUCCGGAUAACAUUUUUCCAAUGUUUAUUUGCCUAAAAGUGAUCUUUAAUUACUUGUAUAGUUUUUACCGCCCCUUGUAUAUUGUGUGGGUUAUGAUUACAUCUUUUCAAUUCGCAUGUGUUACAUGUGCUCCCUUAGAAUGGUUUUUAAUUUCUUGUAGUUUCUGCAGGGCUAAAUCACAUGUGUGCCCCUGGAAAGCAUUUUCAGCUGUUUGAAUCUUGCUUUUUCUCAUCUUAAUGAACGUCUGCAUUUAAUUUUUUUUUAGGCAUUCAUGCUUCCACACAACGGUUGUGCAUUUUCCCUGACUUGUUUGAUUGCAGGACACCCAGCAGCACUGCCACAACAAGUCAGCAAUCAAAGUCUCCAUGCGCAUGUGCAUGCUGGUAACCUCUACCACUAUGUGCAUACAUAAUAAAUUAAAUUUACUUUUGCCACUUGAAACCUAUAAACACAGGCAACUAUUUUUUUUCUUUUUCAUUUCCAAAGGUUUGUUUCAGUGUUAACCUUGGUAUUUUUUUUCCUAUCAAACUAUCCAAGCUGAAUGAGUGCAAGGAUAUUUUUGAGGCUUUGUACAAAUUAUUUAUGAUCUACGCACCUACUUGAAGCCACAUGUAAGAAUCUUGAACUUUUUUAAACCACUCAUUUAAUUUUUAUUUUUGGCUAUAACAUUGAUAUAACCUUUUGUUGUAUAGAUUGCCAUUCUUGAUAGUGUGACCAUGAGUGGUAUAGCCGAGAUGUUUCCACUCCUAUAACAUUUUACAUUGCCACUAAAAACAAUGUGAUUGGUCAGUUAAUAGGUGCAACCUUGGAUGAGAAAAAUACUUUUUGGAUUUUCUCCUGAUCUGUUUUGUCAUAAUUGUCAUGUUAACCUUUGAAAUCUAAUCUUGGGAUGGAGAGUUAAUGGCUUGUAUGGUAGGAUGUGUUGCUGCUCGUGUGCACACUACACAGUAGGUGGGGGGUGUGAAGGGGUCAUAUAUUUUUGUCUGGUAGCUUUGCUCGUGGGCCACAAAACACCUCUUGUCAUUGCUUCUGUUGAUGCAUAUGCUACUGCAAACAGCUAUGAUUAUGUUCAGGCUGUGAUUUGUUAGUGGACAGUUGCCCCUGUCCAAACGGGUCCUCUGAAUGUCCAAAAUUUCUUUUACUGUUUUGUUGAGCCUUUUUAUUUGUGGGAUGGGAUUUAUAUCUAGGUAAUAUUAACUACCACAAUGUAUUGGUUGCUAGCUGUUGGGGAGUAUUUUUCAUCUGUCAGUCAGUGGAACUCAGGUCUGCAGUAAGUUUGUUCAUGAUUGAGAGCAUAUAGCUUAUAUCUCACCCAGCUGCUGACUUCAGGCAGAUAGAAACAAUUACACUUUUUUUGUGGUAUCUGUGUAACAUACUGCUAUCCCCUCUGUUUUUGUCUGGUAGCUUUGCUGCCCAUUUUUAGAUCUAUCUUGCUUGUCAUGUUUUCUCUACUUUAUUUUUUAACAACACUUUGCAAUGCGUUCCGUUUUGGCAAUUAUAUGAUAUAUAUUUUUCUGCUUAUUAAUCUUAACAGGUUGAAAUUAAUAUAUUGAUGUUGUAUCAUCACAGAGGCGGUCUUUCUUAGUCUUCAAUAUUUUCUUAGAGCUAAACGGUUAUAUUUUUUUUGGUGUCUACUUAGCAACAAUGCCAUCUCUUCAGUUAUUGCAACUGACAGAGCAUGGACACAACCUUUUGUCUUUGAGAAGGUGUGCUGUUUUAACAUUAUAUUUCUAAAUUUUAGUAAGCCGAUCAUUUAGUUCUUAUCUCAUGUUCCUUAUUCUUUACAAAUAUCAACAUGAGAGCUCUUGCAGUUGUUUCUGGUGUAUUACUUGCGGGUGGAACUUUAGCGUAUGCUCAGUCAGCUCGGCGCCAAAAAUGUCAGGAAGAAUAUUCUCAUAGUGAUGCAAAUACAUAGACCACGAGUAAUCAGAUCAUUUGUCAAAAUGGUGUUGAUGGUAAAUUGGUAAAAUCAAGGAAAAAGAAAGAUGGCUCCUCCCAUUGAAUUCAAGUGUUGAAAUAUGUGAUUCAAGUAUUCUGAUUGAAUACUUAAAUUCAAGUAUUCAAAGGUCUUACCAACAUGUUAUCUGAAAGAGCACUGAAUCUAAACCAUAGAACUUUAUCAUUUGAAGGUUGUUCAAGUUACUAUGAGACCUGCCAAGCAAUCUGCGCUGGUGCUACAAGAUUGCAUAUCCACAUGUUUAUGUAGUUCACAUUUGUUUCCCAAGUGGUGAAGAUAUUCAAAUCUAUAUGUCGUUACUACACAGAAUUGUUCAAGUCAGUAGUGUAAAACUAGCUAAUUAUAUUCAACCAGCUUCAAUUUUCUUACCA
Molecule: non-coding RNA, 5259 nt
Organism: Oryza sativa Japonica Group (Japanese rice)
Lineage: Eukaryota; Viridiplantae; Streptophyta; Magnoliopsida; Poales; Poaceae
Source: RefSeq, a predicted model, not a curated record